Mus musculus (house mouse) is the source of this 590-nucleotide long non-coding RNA. RefSeq annotates it as predicted gene, 40377. The record is from RefSeq and is a predicted model, not a curated record. The transcript is spliced from 3 exons. NCBI's taxonomy places the organism in Eukaryota, Metazoa, Chordata, Mammalia, Rodentia, Muridae.
UCAUAAAUUUAACAUGACACAUUUUAUGAGUGCACACUAAUUUAGCAGCAAAGGUCUUAUUUAAUGACGAAGGUCGGAUGUUAGGAGAAAGAUAAACAGGAAAGACCCAUCAGGCAUGCUAAGUAAGGCAUCCAAGCAGCAGGAUGGAUAGCAUUGAAAGGGCAGCCCUGGAUCCUUGGGAAGCCGCACAGCCUCAGGCUCUCAGCCUCUCUCCCCACUUUUUGACUUCCUGCGCAUGUCCUUAUAUGGGGUGCUGUCCCUUCCCAGGCCUUCAGUUCUCCACUUUAGGCUGCACGCUGUGUGCUGGAGAGGGCUUCUUCGGGCAGAUACUUAGUGAACAUUUUGUUUAUUUAUUCGUCUGCUUGUUUGUUAUUUCCUGCGGCUGUGUGUGUUGCCAUGGCACACGUGUGGAGGUCAAUGGACAGCAUCGGAGAGCUGGUUUUCUCCUUUCUCUGUGGGUCCUGGCGUCAAACUUCAGGUUUCCAGGCUCGAAACCUGGCAAGUACAUCUGGCUGUGUCUUCUUGACCAUGGUAGAGGCAGAAGAAGAAACAUCUAUGCGCUGAUGACCCGGGAGCAUGGCGUAUGGCAG